RNAcentral lists this unclassified non-coding RNA (136 nucleotides) under Lacticaseibacillus casei. RNAcentral's name for it is "Lactobacillus casei 23S-5S intergenic spacer". The record is from RNAcentral. Lineage: Bacteria; Bacillati; Bacillota; Bacilli; Lactobacillales; Lactobacillaceae.
AAGUAAGCGUGCAAGCAGGCGCAGGUUUCUGCGACUGCGAACGCGUUUCGAUGACAAGUACGUUAGGUUCAAGGCAGCAAUUAAACAAUGAUAGCCAGUUUUGAGAGCGCAAAGUUCUCAUAAGUGUGGUGGCGAU